Molecule: ribosomal RNA, 216 nt
Filed under: uncultured bacterium
Lineage: Bacteria
Description: partial 16S ribosomal RNA
Rfam family: Bacterial small subunit ribosomal RNA
Source: RNAcentral
UAAAACCUCUCUCAGUUCGGAUCGAAGUCUGCAACCCGACUUCGUGAAGCUGGACUCGCUAGUAAUCGCGCAUCAGCCAUGGCGCGGUGAAUACGUUCCCGGGCCUUGUACACACCGCCCGUCAAGCCAUGAAAGCCGGGGGUACCUGAAGUACGUAACCGCAAGGAGCGUCCUAGGGUAAAACUGGUAAUUGGGGCUAAGUCGUAACAAGGUAGC